UCGACCGCCUGGGGAGUACGGCCGCAAGGUUAAAACUCAAAUGAAUUGACGGGGGCCCGCACAAGCGGUGGAGCAUGUGGUUUAAUUCGAUGCAACGCGAAGAACCUUACCUGGUCUUGACAUCCACAGAACUUUCCAGAGAUGGAUUGGUGCCUUCGGGAACUGUGAGACAGGUGCUGCAUGGCUGUCGUCAGCUCGUGUUGUGAAAUGUUGGGUUAAGUCCCGCAACGAGCGCAACCCUUAUCCUUUGUUGCCAGCGGUCCGGCCGGGAACUCAAAGGAGACUGCCAGUGAUAAACUGGAGGAAGGUGGGGAUGACGUCAAGUCAUCAUGGCCCUUACGACCAGGGCUACACACGUGCUACAAUGGCGCAUACAAAGAGAAGCGACCU
Molecule: ribosomal RNA, 390 nt
Filed under: Escherichia coli
Lineage: Bacteria; Pseudomonadati; Pseudomonadota; Gammaproteobacteria; Enterobacterales; Enterobacteriaceae
Description: bacterial SSU rRNA
Rfam family: Bacterial small subunit ribosomal RNA
Source: RNAcentral